Molecule: ribosomal RNA, 489 nt
Filed under: uncultured bacterium
Lineage: Bacteria
Description: partial 16S ribosomal RNA
Rfam family: Bacterial small subunit ribosomal RNA
Source: RNAcentral
GACGAACGCUGGCGGCGUGCUUAACACAUGCAAGUCGAACGGAAAGGCCCCCAUCUUGGUGGGGGUGCUCGAGUGGCGAACGGGUGAGUAACACGUGGGUGAUCUGCCCUGUACUUCGGGAUAAGCUUGGGAAACUGGGUCUAAUACCGGAUGGGACCAUGGUUUAGUGUCUCAUGGUGGAAAGAUUAUUGUUUUGGUGCAGGAUGAGCUCGCGGCCUAUCAGCUUGUUGGUGGGGUAAUGGCCUACCAAGGCGUCGACGGGUAGCCGGCCUGAGAGGGUGGACGGCCACAUUGGGACUGAGAUACGGCCCAGACUCCUACGGGAGGCAGCAGUGGGGAAUAUUGCACAAUGGGCGCAAGCCUGAUGCAGCGACGCCGCGUGGGGGAUGACGGCCUUCGGGUUGUAAACUCCUUUCGUUAGGGACGAAGCCGCACUUUUUUUGGGUGUGGUGACGGUACCUUUGUUAAGAAGCACCGGCUAACUACGUG